AAAGUAGUCAUGGCUAAAGAUCUGUUGCCAGGUCUCAGUAUGGCAUGUGAAAGCUUGUCACAGCAAACUGCAGAGAUCUAAUCAAGAUCCUGAAGUAGGCAGAGGACCCUCCACGGGAACCUAGAGUGGGAGAGCUACUCUAGGGAAACAACUGCAAACUCUACUUCCCAUCUUACCUGAAGCUCAUCUGAGGAUACUGCUGAUCAUCCGACAAUACCCUUUCCUAAGCCCGCCUUAGUAAGUCCCAUGUCCAAUGGGUUACUCGGUCCUGCUGACUUUACAGUAGAAAUCUCAUUCAUAUCUGGGCCAUUCUUCCCAACUUACACUAUCCCUGUCUUGGUUCAGGCCUUCUACCAUUUUGGACUGCAACCACCUUCCGAUUUGGCGGCUGGCCAGCAGCCCCUCACUUCCCCCCACUUCCUCCUCAACACUGCUGUCAGAUCUACCUUGCUAAAAGCGUAUCCUAUACAAUAUCACGCUGCCUCGACCUAAAAUCUCUUCAUUCCUCCUUUGAUUAUCAAAUAAAUUUCUUGGCAUGAUGUAAACAGCUCUUCACAGUCUCAUUUCUUUGGCCUCAUCUGCCAAUCUUCUUUCCUUGUCCCCAUCACAGUUCCUCUGACAGCGUCACUCUCCCACGUGCCCCCUUCCUUUUCUUUGGGCCUUUGAAUAAGCCUCCUCCUUUUCCUACAGUGCCCCUAAUUAAGAACUCUUAAUUUACCCACCUUUUAAACCCUAUUCAAAUAUUACUCCCUCUGUGAAGUCCUCCCAAAUCCCUAAUAUCAGAGCUUUGGUAGAUUUCAGUGACUAUGCUUUUGUGUUCCUAUAGUUAGAGGUGCGCAUGUGUAUAUUUGCUAUGACACUGAACGCUCCCUGGGCAGGUGCCCUGUAAUAUCCCAGCACUUAGCGGGGUGCCCAGAACACAGCAGACACUGUAUAAAUGUUAAU
Mustela erminea (ermine) is the source of this 945-nucleotide long non-coding RNA. RefSeq lists it as uncharacterized. The record is from RefSeq and is a predicted model, not a curated record. Lineage: Eukaryota; Metazoa; Chordata; Mammalia; Carnivora; Mustelidae. The transcript has 3 exons.